AGCAGUCGCCGCGGUAAAACGUAGGUCCCGAGCGUUGUCCGGAUUUAUUGGGCGUAAAGCGAGCGCAGGCGGUUAGAUAAGUCUGAAGUUAAAGGCUGUGGCUUAACCAUAGUACGCUUUGGAAACUGUUUAACUUGAGUGCAAGAGGGGAGAGUGGAAUUCCAUGUGUAGCGGUGAAAUGCGUAGAUAUAUGGAGGAACACCGGUGGCGAAAGCGGCUCUCUGGCUUGUAACUGACGCUGAGGCUCGAGAGCGUGGGGAGCAAACAGGAUUAGAUACCCCAGUAGUCCCUGUCUCUUAUACA
This 303-nucleotide ribosomal RNA is filed under the name uncultured bacterium. RNAcentral describes it as "partial 16S ribosomal RNA". It matches the Rfam family "Bacterial small subunit ribosomal RNA", at positions 507 to 808 of the family's 1533-position model. The record is from RNAcentral.